This 116-nucleotide non-coding RNA is filed under the name Aurantiochytrium limacinum. Lineage: Eukaryota; Bigyra; Thraustochytrida; Thraustochytriidae. The record is from RNAcentral.
GCGCUAUUUGAAGAUAAGCGGCCCGGUCCUCAAUCUUCCCUAGACCUCGUACAUUACUACUGAUCAUACUGUUCCUUAGCAUUGAUUGAUUCCUUCCCUAUGCAUACUCUAAAAUU